CCAAACCGAUUGAAUUUUAAAACUAAACCGAUUGAAACAAAUUGAAUCGAACUGAAUCGAUUUUGCUCUCCCCUAACGGCAAUUACAUCCACGAAUCUAUUUUCUUCUCUAGUCAAAAGUUGGCACAAGUCAGGUCCUAAAACCUUUUCAAGAACUCUGAUCUUGGCAAGAAGGUUAGCAAUUUUUGAAAACUUUUUGAAGGAACUCCUUCAGGCACAGGAUCAGCGGCCUCAAAAUGCACGCCAAUUUGGGCAACAGCAUGCUUCGUUUCAUACAACGACCAUUGCUCCCAACUGUUCAGCUCUACCUACCAUCGUUCUUCUUCCUCAUUUGAGGCCACUUUAUUACAAUAUUUGGCAACCCCAAUCAAUGCCCCUAGUUCCACCACCAAGUUGUUAAGGCGCCCGGCAUGUUUUUCUGCAUUGUAAUAAACAGCAAUAAAUUUGGAUGGCAACUUGCAUGCAUAUUCUAGGCUCUACUUCAUUGGAGUUGCCCAUUGAAAUAAACAAAAAAUUGGCCUCUGGAAUUUAUCAUACAAUCUUAUUUAUCAGGACAUGAUGUUGGCUUUCCGAUUUAGAGCAGUUCCCUUUUCUUGUUUCCUCCUAGAUAUCCAUCAAGUUUAAACAUACUGCUAUGCUGGCUUCAAGUCUUCAUGAUUCAUAAUGGAGAAGCAUCUGACGCCUACGCUGAGAUCUUCUGUGGCUACGAGUAAGUGCUCUGGCAGGUGUGCUUGAGGUUCUAGUGUCAUGGAUCUCCUACAAUGGUGCCAUGGAACCAAAAAUCCUAUCUAAAGCCAUCACAUCAGCACCAGGGUUGAUCUAAAAGAAAAGAUAUAUCAGAUAAUAUGAUUAUUUUCCAAUGGCAUAUUUGAUGGAAAGGCUCUUUUCAUAUUCCAGUUAAACAGAAUAUUAAUCAUUGAAAGAUAAAGAAGAGCAGCAUCUUUCCCACCUUUUCUUUUUCUUCCCUGCCUUCUAAAGUGCGCAAGCAAAGACAUAAAGAAUUGGCAGAAGAAAUAUAACCACAAUUAAAAUGCUUAGCAAAAAGCAAUUGUAUUACCAUUAUUUUAAAUAGAAAACCAACUUUUUUAAGAUGCUGAGAUCCGUACUCUCGGUGAAAAGAGUUGAUCCCAAUUAAUCAGGUUCUUCACAUAUCAUAUUAUCAUUUUGCUGUUAUGCCAAAUUAUGCUCCGUAAUGUUGAGCGUAGAAAGCCUGCCCAAAAUAACUUGUCAGAGGUGCCAAUUCCUGGUUAUUAGCAAGCUCAGUUCGUAACAUGGCAUGUCAAGGAUAACUUUAUAUCCAUAUCAUGGAAUUGAUGAACUGCAAGUUUAACACCAAACCCUAGAAAUGCCAUAGACAAAGGCCCAGAAAAUUGCAAUACUUCACAACUCUUUCAGCACAGAAAGAGGCCACAGGCAAACUCAGCACUGUCAAUCUAUCAAUACAGGCAGGACUGGGGGACAAGUAGAAAAUCUAAUCUCUGUUUCGAGUGGCACACCACUAACAGUUUCAUCCACCUGGAGCACUCUCUUAUGUUGCCUAAAACAUCACAGCAUCCAUGGAUGACUCUGUUGAAAGAGAAUGCUUUUGACUUACAGAAGUGCCAGGUCUCCUUCCCACUAGUUUCCAUACAUACUGGGCUAAACAUCUGGCCAUUUUCUUUUCAGAAUUGUCAAAAUUGAGGAUCUAAAUUUCUCCAUCACUAUAAGUGUGCACUUUUUGUUAUCACACCUCUGGAAUGGAGACCCAGCCCGUGACAAGUGGUAUUAGAAUUGACCCUAUUCUUCAAUUGUGUGGGUUCCUCAUGAGAGACAGUAGGAUCAAGGUAGAUCCAGAACAAGGAGCCGGUGCAUGACAGAUGGCUUAUCCUAUGAACCAACUUGCCGUGAUCAAACCAGCAUUCGCUUUGACUCCACAUGAGCCUUUUUUCUAUCAGAAUCACUGUGGGAAACAAUGCGUGAAUCACUCUGUGAGUCGCAGUCAUUCAUCCUUUGACCAUGAGCAACAUUUUUCGAUAACACCACCUUAAUAGUGGUUAAUCUGAGUUUUAGUUAUGAAACACUUUCUCCAAGUAGAAAUGUGAAUGCAUUUGAUUCAUUGUCCAAGGAUCAUCAUUAUGUCUCACAAAACUAAGGACCUUUUAAAUCUACAUGAUCCAUGAAAAGCAGCAGCUCCUGCAGAAAAGGUAAAGACUUGCUGAACUACAAAAGUGAAGAAGUUUCAGAAAGACAUUAGAACUAAGGUUAUACGGGCAAGAAAAAGAGAAUAUUUGCAUUAACUCUAGACAGGUAGACUCAAUCAAACUUACUUAGCUUCCAUGUUGCUGCUAGAAGGCCAUAAAUUAUCAGAAAAGCAGAAGUAUGAUAAACUUUGAGAUUCAAUAUAGAUAACUAAACCCCAAUCUUGUUGCCAGGAUGCAUAAGAGCCUACCAGCAAGGAAACGCAGAACAACCAUAACCACAAAACAGAACGCAAAUCUUUGAGAUGGUAGUAACUAACAGAAUGCAUCAGUGGAAUUAAUGGUAGGCUUGAACAUGACAAGUGCUGAUUUUAGUACCUUAACAAGUUCAUCAUGCAAUUUUCAUUUCUUGAAGCAUGACAGUAUUACCUCAAGUAGAUAAGAACAAAAAGGAAAAACACACUUGCCAACGCUAUGCUACAACCAAUAAGAACACCGGCCGUAAACUCCCUAAAACAACCAUAGAUUUGCAUGCUAGUACAUUUGCUUCUUCAGGCGUCAGUUUCCCCUAGGGGUUUACCCCAAUAGAAGUAAAAUUAGGCUACAGAGAGUGGCAAAAAGUUCUGCUCUCACUUUCAUAAGACAUGAUACGCCUCUUGUUUUCAAGCCCCGGUUUAGUUUGCAUUUUCUCAAAGCAAUUUUCCAGAAUGUCAAUAGCAAAGAGAAAAUAUCUAGGCCACAAAAAAUGCAUGCGGUUUCCCAUUUCAAAAUGAAGAUAACAACUCAUACAAUGCUGUUCAAACCAGGUUUAAAAGAAAAUCAGAAAGCUUUCACCACUAAUUUAUAUAGCAUGAAUGGCCACUUGCAAAAAUUCUUGCUGAUGAUAUUGUCAUAAGCUAGAAGAACAAGAAAAGUCUAGAAAUUUGGGGAUAAUAUGAGUUGUUACCUCAUCUUCACUGUGAGCAAACACAAAAGAUAAUGGAUGACGGUGAUGGUGAGGGCAAAAGGCCCAAGAAGAAGAAGAAGAAGACAUGUACCUGCUGGGACCGGACUUUUCAAGCUCGUCUAAAGCUUCACCCAUGUGCUCCAAAUUCUUGCUUUGAU
Molecule: unclassified non-coding RNA, 3280 nt
Filed under: Hevea brasiliensis (rubber tree)
Lineage: Eukaryota; Viridiplantae; Streptophyta; Magnoliopsida; Malpighiales; Euphorbiaceae
Source: RNAcentral